GUGGUAUCAGCUGUUUCUGUUUGACCCAUUUGCUUGUGUUUAAAUAAUUUGAACAUGAGAAGCUAUGCUUGGUGUUUGCUACGUAAUACAUCAAUGGAGGAAUUGAGUUUGCCUAAUGAUUGAAAUCAGUUUCAGUUUCAUACUUAGGUUUUGACUUUGUGGUCUUUUAUUAGUUAAUUUUUGACAUUUUCUUCAUUUAUUGAAUUUUUUUGACCUGGAUAGCGUUACUGCUAAGACUGCAGCAGCAGCAGCAGCAAAGAUUAUAUUGACACUUGCGAAGCACUCAUCUGCUCCCAUUAUAACCACUGAACACCGGGAAGAUGUGAAAUUUCAGAACUAGUUGGGUGGACAUUCAUCCAGGAAGAAGUCUACUGAUUCUAAAACAAUUCUGGAUCCUUCUCUUUUGAAAGUUUCUGAGGGAGACGCUGAUGCACUGCAAGCGGAGGUUAAGGCUAUUAAUAAGCAGAACGCAGGAGUCCUGUUGUCGAAGGACCCAAGUAACAGAAACCUUCACAUGGGCACAAAGUUUUACUAGUAUUAGACAUUUAGUGUUGUCCUUUAGUUCAAAGCAGUGAACUGGUUCUUUUGUAAACCGGCAACCCAGAGUGCUGCAGCAGCAAUGAUCUGCCUGAAAAUCCCCCUCCCACCUCAGAAUGGUGCCCUGGUUCUCGCAUAGCUCCUUUCCCCUAUAAAUUUGAUUGUUUGGUUAAAUAUUCCCCCAACUCUGUUUUAGCAUUCCAAUACCUCUUUCUAGGUUAGAAGAUACGCUUAUUGAUCUUUAUUUGUCUGGUUAUUCCAACUUAGAAGCCAAUGCUGCUGAUGAUAUUGAUAUGACAGGCCUUCCCGAACACACAUGUUUUGGAGCUGAUGGUUUGUUCUGGAUUCUCAUAUGUGUUUUUUAGAUAAACGAUUGCUGUGGUUGGAGCAGGAAAAAAUGGGUUUGUUUGGUGGAGUUGCGGGGAACAAUGAUAGUCGCGAGCUCAAUGAAGGCGAAUUGAUUUCGGAUGACCAUGAUGUUGCAGUUAAAUCAAGUGAAAUUAUUUCUGAUGAAGGUGCUUCAUGGGAUGAAGAGAACUGGCAAGCUCAAUACUAAUCGUGAUACUGAUUCGCUGCCAGGCUCUACAGAAGAAGCUGCAGCAGAGGCCCUGCUAUUUAUGCCAAUAUUUUUUUGGAAAGCAUGGGCUGGAAGGAGGGGGAGACACUUGGCAAAAGUACAAAGGGAUUAGCUGAACAUAUUCAAGCACACAGCAACAUUAGUAAUGCUUGAGGCAGGCUUUGAGGAUGUGGUGAGGGAGGCAGUGCAGAGGAAAGAACCUGUUGUUCAGCACCUGGUGCAAGCAAGCACAUGUCACUGAACCAAAGCCAAGGGUACCUGUUACGCAUUCACAUGGGAUUUUCUACCCAAGUCAAUUAUUCUUGAAUCAAAUAUUGGUUUUCGCAAAAUUUGAUUACAUGAAUGCAAUUCUGUCCAUUUU
Prunus mume (Japanese apricot) is the source of this 1475-nucleotide non-coding RNA. The record is from RefSeq and is a predicted model, not a curated record. Lineage: Eukaryota; Viridiplantae; Streptophyta; Magnoliopsida; Rosales; Rosaceae.